RNAcentral lists this ribosomal RNA (301 nucleotides) under uncultured bacterium. RNAcentral describes it as "partial 16S ribosomal RNA". It matches the Rfam family "Bacterial small subunit ribosomal RNA", at positions 509 to 807 of the family's 1533-position model. The record is from RNAcentral.
CAGUCGCCACGGUAAAACGUAGGGUGCAAGCGUUGUCCGGAAUUAUUGGGCGUAAAGAGCUCGUAGGCGGCUUGUCACGUCGGCUGUGAAAACCUGGGGCUCAACCCCGGGCCUGCAGACGAUACGGGCUAGCUAGAAUUCGGUAGGGGAGACUGGAAUUCCUGGUGUAGCGGUGAAAUGCGCAGAUAUCAGGAGGAACACCGGUGGCGAAGGCGGAUCUCUGGGCCGAUAUUGACGCUGAGGAGCGAAAGCGUGGGGAGCGAACAGGAUUAGAUACCCCCGUAGUCCCUGUCUCUUAUAC